This 472-nucleotide ribosomal RNA is filed under the name uncultured bacterium. RNAcentral describes it as "bacterial SSU rRNA". It matches the Rfam family "Bacterial small subunit ribosomal RNA", at positions 28 to 507 of the family's 1533-position model. The record is from RNAcentral.
GACGAACGCUGGCGGCGUGCCUGACACAUGCAAGUCGGACGGUUCUUGUACCUUCAAGCUUGCUUGUUGGUGCAAGGAUAGUGGCGGACGGGUGAGUAACGCGUGAACAUCUACCCAUUGGAGGGGGACAACCCGUCGAAAGGCGGGCUAAUACCGCGUAAGCCGCGAGGUGAGAGGCUGCCUAUUGGUGGCCGCCGAUGGAUGGGUUCGCGUCCUAUCAGCUAGUUGGUGAGGUAACGGCCCACCAAGGCGACGACGGGUAGCGGGACUGAGAGGUUGACCCGCCACAUCGGGACUGAGACACUGCCCGGACCUCCACGGAGGGCUGCAGUAACGAAUAUUGGGCAAUGGGCGAAAGCCUGACCCAGCAACGCCGCGUGCAGGACGAAGCCCCUCGGGGUGUAAACUGCUGUCAGGGGCAAGAAAGCCGCAAGGUUGAUCAGCCCCGGAGGAAGUCACGGCUAACUUCGUG